ACACACGCACACACACACACACACACACACACACACACACAAAUGUGGCUGGAGAGAGUGGACGGGCAGGCUCUGCAGCUGUUCAAACUUUCUCGGCCACCUUCCCAGGCCAUGAGGACUCCCCACUCAUGGGCCUGUCGGAACCGUGCUGGGGAAUGUGAGGAGUGAGGGCCCGCUCCAGACAUGCUCCAGGGACCCAGGCUGAUGGAGGAUCGAGUCCCAUCCAGACCUCCAUCAUCAUGGAGGCCAGAUGCACGUGCUGGUUCUUAAAACUUCUGCUCACAAGUGACUGAGACCUCUUCCACUCACAUUUCACUGGUCAAUCAAGUCAUGCCACCACACCUGAUUUCAACGGGGAUGAGAAGAACAAUUCUAUUUGCUCAGAAAGCAGAGAUCUGGAAAUAUUCGUAAACAGUCUUUAGUCUUCAACCAUCCAAGCUAGAAGACCUGGUUUCUGGGACCCUCCUUUGCCACCAACUAACUUUGUGUCCCCCUGGCAGGCCUCCACCCUUCUCUGGCCUGUAGAUCCCCACUUGCAAAAAGGUGUGGAGCAUGUUCCCCAGGUUUUUCUGGGCCUGACAACAGCACCACUAUCAUGGCCUCUGCUUUUCCUAGUGGGGGACAAUGAAUUUAUCUCCACUGCUCUUCCGUGGAGCAAGGACAGGAUGACAUUCAGGCCAGAGCACGACUCAGCCUUUGGGGAGUCUCCCAAAUACCCCAAGUUUUGAACCUCCACGUUCUUUUUUUUUUCUGAGAUGGAGUCUCACUCUGUCACCCAGGCUAGAGUGCAGUGGCGUGAUCUCGGCUUACUGCACCUCCGCCUCACAGAUUCAACAAUUCUCCUGUCUCAGCCUCCCUACUAGCUGGGAUUACAGGUGUGCACCACCACGCUCAGCUAAUUUUUGUAUUUUUAGUAAAGACAGGGUUUCACCAUAUUAGCCAGGCUGGUCUCGAACUCCUGACCUUAGGUGAUCCAACCACCUCGGCCUCCCAAAGUGUUGGGAUUACAGGUGUGAGCCACGAUGCCUGGCCUGAAGCUCCACAUUCAACUGUUACUCUGGGAAUGGUGUGUGGGCACAGCUGCUGCUCCUGCCAGCCAGGCAUGAGUUUCCAAAGGUGGACCCAGGCUUGGUUCUGGUUGGGGCUGGGUGGAACUCCCGGGAGGGGAGGAGAGAAGGGAAGUUGGUUAAUGAUGAGGGAUAAAGUUGGCAGGAGAAAAUGGGCUGAUGGUAUGGCUCAUCCAGCUACUUGUCCAGGCCCCGUCAGACCAUCAGGAGGGGGUCAACGAGGGAGUUCCAGUGGCCUUGGAGUCCUGUCCUCCUUGCUGUUCUUGGAAUUGCUUGGAUAUUUCACAGCCUCAGGGCCUUUGCAGGGUCUGUGGCUUCCCUGAGGUGUCCACGUGCCCUUCUCCCUCGCCUUCAAAUCUCAAUCAACUGUCAAGGCCUUCCCCAACCGCUCUCUCUAAAACAGCAAUCCCUCCCCUCAGCUCUGGGGGCUCCCUGUGUCCCCACUGCCUGGGAUUGUCCCCACAGCUGUGAUCUUCUAAAUGACUUUGGAGUUUUAUUCAUUUUGACUAUGAGGUUUCCACUCUCCAGAAGGUGAGCUGCGUCAGGACAGGAGCUUUCGCCUAUUUUGUUCUCUGCAUCACCCCUGCACCUAGAUGAGAGCCUGGUGGGUAGUAGGUCCUCUGUGCAUGGUUGCCAAUUGAAUGAAUUUAUAUCGCUGAGGCCAGGGAGCCACAAGCUACCUCUGAGUCAGCUGUUAAGGAGGAAAUAUAAACAAACUCCAGGCCCAGCCAUGCCAGCCAUGCCAGCCGUGCCUGACAAGCACUGUGGCUACACAGAGCCUGCUCAGGUGUGCAAAGGCUCACACGACAGCGCAAAGCCUCCUUGCAGCUCACCUGGCCAUCUGGGGCACAGCAACACUCAGGCAACAGAAGGCACCUCAGCUGAUGGCUGAAUGCAGUGGCUCAUGCCUGUAAUCCCAGCACUUUCGGAGGCAGGAGGAUCACUUGAGACCAGGAGUUUAAGACCAGCCUGGGCAACAUAAUGAGACCCCCACCAUCUCUAUUAUUUUUAAAAAUAGAAGGCACCCCAGUUUAGGUCUAGAGAGGCUCCCCCUCCUUAGCCUCCCACGGAGCAUCAUCUGCAGUUUUGCAAAACCGUCCUGUGUUCUCUGUGCCCUGUGGAAAUGGCCAAACAGCUCCUCAGUGCCCCAAGAGAUAGAAUCAUGAAAAAAGCAGCUCGUAGUUCAAAAUGGAAGAACAUGAUAAAAGCAAGGCCCCUCCAUGGGUGUGAAGAGAUUUCUCUUUUACAGAGGAAAUUUGGGUGGGGGAGGCAGGACUUCUGCUGGAUCCACAGAGGAUCUUCCAUUAGCAAAAGGACAAUCAUUGUGAGUGAAAAGUGAAAAUUCUAAACUUAGAACCAGAAGGUGGGGAAGUGAAGAAAGUUCUUCCUUAUCUUCCCCCAACCCUUGUGGUUUUCAUCCCCAUCUCAGCCCAUGUCUUUUGCCCCUGACUUCCCAGGUGUGGGAGUAGACUGAAGAUGUGGAAUGUGUGGGAGGCUAGAGAGUAGGGAGAAUGUGGGUCUGCGUCUUUUUUGGAAGGAUUGCAGCCAAAAAUGCAACGUUAUACAGCAGCCAGCAUGCACUCAGGUGUGGGGGCCAAUGCCGGCCACACAUUUCCAGAAGGUUCUGUUGGGCCCCUAGGGGACCAGGCAGCAUGGGGACUGCAGCGGAGCCCGGGAGGACAGGGGCUGGGCAAGCUCUGUUACCCAUUUGUUGGGCUCUGAGAGGCUUGGGCCACACCUCUGAGCCCCGUGUCACUAUAGACAUUGAGAAGUGGACUCUCGCUAGCCCAAACUCAGCUUUGUGGCUCUUGGAAAGGACAGGGCCUGUCACAUGAUACUCCUGGCCCAGCACAAAGCUCCCAAUACAAUGGACCAUGCUGUGUAUCCACAAGUGGCAGCGAAGGCAGUGCGCUGAAGUCUGGGCAAAUGCAUGGCCGAUCCCAGGUUAUUACCAUAUUGGAUCGUGUGGUCUCUGCUCCAGGCUGGCUCGGUUCAGGGUUGGAUGAAUUUCUGCAUCCCCCCAACCCCGGCCCAACUACCCCCAACCCUGCAUGCUAAUGGAAGCGGAAUUAGGCAGAAUUCUGCACGCCUCCAAGUCAGGCGUUUCCGACGACUGUUCCUGUGGGAGUCAGAGGGCAGGAUGGGAUGGGGUCAGCUGAGCCCUACAUCUGAAGCCUUGCCUCUAAAAAUAGCCCUUUCUUCCUGUGUCCAGGGCUCUGCCACGGGCCCUGCAGGAAAACGUCUGUUUCCAAGGCGGACGGAGCAUCUGGAAGCUCCGAGCAGCCACGCGCUUAUGCUCAGGCCUCAGCCAAGUGUCACCGGGGCCCUGGGGGCACCAUCUGGCCUUCACUUCCUCGAGGCUCCUGUCCCCUUCACUGAAUAAAUCCUGCAUGUUUGGAGCCUGAGUUACAGCAGAUCCAGCGGGUGUGUUGGGUGCAGCAGGUGUGCAUCCCAGGGGGCGCUGAGGCGAACCUACCAGAACCUUCUCUUCCUGCUGCCCUGGGAGGCUGUGUCUGCCCAAGCCAGCCACGGGGCCGGGUCCACUGCCUGGGGAUGGCUGUCCCCUGAGCUGCUGCUGUGUCCCCACCACGGAGGCUCGUCCAGCUGCCCGGGCAUGAGUCAUGGGCCAGCCCUGGGCGCUGCUGCGGAUUCAGAAGCUCGAGCCGUUUCCUGCAGAUAAGCGACAAGCGCCAGGGAAACCUGGCGGGGGUGGCCGCCCUGUGAGAUAGCGCUUCCUUCAAAGCCCCCCAAGCACUAAUUAGCCAUUCCAAGCAUAGUUUCAACAGCAUUUAGGGAUUUCCUCAUCAAAAUAAACUUCCUCCCAUAUUAUCUUCA
Long non-coding RNA from Gorilla gorilla gorilla (western lowland gorilla), 3902 nucleotides. RefSeq lists it as uncharacterized. NCBI's taxonomy places the organism in Eukaryota, Metazoa, Chordata, Mammalia, Primates, Hominidae. The transcript is spliced from 2 exons. The record is from RefSeq and is a predicted model, not a curated record.